AGAGCGAACGCUGGCGGCAGGCCUAACACAUGCAAGUCGAACGCCCAGCAAUGGGAGUGGCAGACGGGAUAGUAACACGUGGGAACGCGCCCUUCGGUUCGGAAUAACUCAGGGAAACUUGAGCUAAUACCGGAUACGCCCUUACGGGGAAAGAUUUAUUGCCGAAGGAACGGCCCGCGUCGGAUUAGCUAGUUGGUGAGGUAAUGGCUCACCAAGGCGACGAUCCGUAGCUGGUCUGAGAGGAUGACCAGCAUCACUGGGACUGAGACACGGCCCAGACUCCUACGGGAGGCAGCAGUGGGGAAUAUUGGACAAUGGGCGCAAGCCUGAUCCAGCCAUGCCGCGUGGAUGAUGAAGGCCCUAGGGUUGUAAAGUCCUUUAACGGGGAAGAUAAUGACGGUACCGUAGAAUAAGCCCGGCUAACUUCGUGCCAGCAGCCGC
Molecule: ribosomal RNA, 441 nt
Filed under: uncultured bacterium
Lineage: Bacteria
Description: SSU rRNA
Rfam family: Bacterial small subunit ribosomal RNA
Source: RNAcentral